This 1551-nucleotide ribosomal RNA is filed under the name Triticum aestivum (bread wheat). RNAcentral describes it as "partial small subunit ribosomal RNA". The record is from RNAcentral. Lineage: Eukaryota; Viridiplantae; Streptophyta; Magnoliopsida; Poales; Poaceae.
AUGGUUAUUCACAGCAAACUGCCUUGGGCCUCUUUUCUGACCACGGGAAGUUUGUUUGGAUCAGUAGGUUACAAACACUGGAGCGCAUUGACGAUCAAGGUGCGCCUUCCAAAUGGCAAAGUGGUAGAUGGGUGGCUCAACUAUCAUUCGUCCUUUUGCGAUCUCGCCGUUGUCGGCACCAAUUCCUUGCUGCACUUCCUGCGCUCACAUAAUCUUCGUGUAGCAUGUCUCGAUGACAACAUGCAAGUUGAUUCGGUGGCCGGGGUAUUAGCUGUAAGGCGGUGCUUCGACUCAGGCAAAUUAGUGUACACCAGAGGGUCACUGACUGGUGGAAUUCAAAACGAAGAGCUUAAUUUGCCACUGACUGGUGCAAUUCAAGACAAAGAGCUUAAUUUUUCCACAUGCAAAAUCACCGAGGCUGCCAGUGGAGGACCACUUGUUGAUUGUGAUGGGAAUAUUGUUGGAAUGAACUACUAUGGCGGGAAAAUAACUCCAUUCCUACCAAGUAAUCUAAUUUUUGACCUCCUUGGGCUUGAGAUGUUCUGGGCUGCAAGUGAAGAAGAUCAUCGCUGUACAGAUGAGACAGAAGAAUCUUAUAGCGACAGUCCGAAAGAACUCACUGACGACCAACUUGAACGUAUACUUGCUCCCUGGCCUGCUUCCGGUGAUGACUUUAAGGAUAGAGCAAAUGAGAUGCUAAGGACUGCUGGUCAUCCCUUGCCAAAGUUUGCUGAUGAUGGCAUGUACUUGAAAGAGGGUUUUGACGAUGAAUUCGGCAACGGUAAUUGGAGUGAACCAACCAGGACAGUUGCUUCAAAGAUGUCUCUAAGUGUUGUGGCACUUGCUUCAUUCAUCGUAGAAUAUGAUUCUACUGGGGAGCACGACAAGGAGAAAAGAAGAAAGCAUUUUGCUUGCACAGGUGUAAUUAUAGUGUGCGAUGGAUCCACUGCAAGAGUUCUGAUUUCAGCAAGUUUAGUUAGAACUUCUGGUGAAGAAAACAACAUUCAUCCUGGAUUGAAGAUUGAAGUGUGCCUUUGGAGCGAAAGACGUGUGGACGGGACAUUGCAACAUUAUGACUUGCACUAUAAUGCAGCUAUUGUCAGCAUCGAGGGUGCCUGCAGUUAUUGUGCGGCAAACCUUGAUGAACCAUCUAAAACUGAUGAGGUAGUAGCUCUAGGGCGCGCCUUCGAAUCAGGCGAGUUAAUGGCCACGAACGGGGCUGUGACUGGUGAAAGUAGCAGAUUUGAUUGCAAAGAGCUUCGGAUGUCCACUUGUACAAUUACCAAGGCUGGGAUUGGAGGGCCCCUUGUUGAUUUUGAUGGGAACUUUGUUGGCAUGAACUUCUAUGACAUGGAACAAACUCCUUAUCUGCCAAGGGAUAUAAUCCUGGAAGUCAUCAGGCGUUUUGAUGCAAAACGGACUGCUGCUGCUGCUGUCGAGGCUACAGAAGAGUCUGAAUUUCACAGCUGGCCCGUGCCCGACGCCUACUGGGUUUAUCCGAGUCGUUACCCCGAACCCCCGCGCCCUCCUGCAAGCUUUGAGUUGGAGUAA